UAGGGAAUCUUCGGCAAUGGGCGCAAGCCUGAUGGAGCAACACCGCGUGAGUGAAGAAGGGUUUCGGCUCGUAAAGCUCUGUUGUUAAAGAAGAACACGUAUGAGAGUAACUGUUCAUACGUUGACGGUAUUUAACCAGAAAGUCACGGCUAACUACGUGCCAG
RNAcentral lists this ribosomal RNA (164 nucleotides) under uncultured bacterium. RNAcentral describes it as "partial 16S ribosomal RNA". It matches the Rfam family "Bacterial small subunit ribosomal RNA", at positions 355 to 511 of the family's 1533-position model. The record is from RNAcentral.